AUUGAACGCUGGCGGCAUGCUUUACACAUGCAAGUCGAACGGCAGCACGGGGGCAACCCUGGUGGCGAGUGGCGAACGGGUGAGUAACACAUCGGAACGUGUCCAGUUGUGGGGGAUAACCCAUCGAAAGGUGGGCUAAUACCGCAUGAGCUGGCAACAGGAAAGCGGGGGACCCGCAAGGGCCUUGUGCGAUUGGAGCGGCCGAUGUCCGAUUAGCUAGUUGGUGGGGUAAAGCCUACCAAGGCUUCGAUCGGUAGCUGGUCUGAGAGGAUGAUCAGCCACACUGGGACUGAGACACGGCCCAGACUCCUACGGGAGGCAGCAGUGGGGAAUUUUGGACAAUGGGGGCAACCCUGAUCCAGCCAUGCCGCGUGAGUGAAGAAGGCCG
This 388-nucleotide ribosomal RNA is filed under the name uncultured bacterium. RNAcentral's name for it is "bacterial SSU rRNA". It matches the Rfam family "Bacterial small subunit ribosomal RNA", at positions 29 to 417 of the family's 1533-position model. The record is from RNAcentral.